CUCUAAGAAUAAACUUAAUGGCUUUUCCGUGCCAAGGUCGCAAGCAAGGAGAGUCUUGCAUGGCAGUUAGUAAAAGGAAAACAGAUUCAGUGGAAAUAAAUAGGAUGUAUUAACUUUCAGAGCAAGUUAUGUAUCAUGAAAUGAAUGAGAAGAUACAGCAGGCCAGUGGAGCCAUACGAUAUCAGCAUCGCAUACCUUGUAGCUGCAUGUAAUGAUUUUUGCCAAAGGCAACAUACCGAAUCGAGCUUCACCCACCC
Meleagris gallopavo (turkey) is the source of this 257-nucleotide non-coding RNA. The record is from RefSeq and is a predicted model, not a curated record. NCBI's taxonomy places the organism in Eukaryota, Metazoa, Chordata, Aves, Galliformes, Phasianidae.